RNAcentral lists this transfer RNA (54 nucleotides) under Echinorhynchus truttae. RNAcentral's name for it is "transfer RNA-Leu". The record is from RNAcentral. Lineage: Eukaryota; Metazoa; Acanthocephala; Palaeacanthocephala; Echinorhynchida; Echinorhynchidae.
GUCUAAUUAGCAAAAAAGUGCAUGCAAUUUAGGUUUGUAGUAUUAAUUUAGACU